Molecule: non-coding RNA, 282 nt
Organism: Nerophis lumbriciformis (worm pipefish)
Lineage: Eukaryota; Metazoa; Chordata; Actinopteri; Syngnathiformes; Syngnathidae
Source: RefSeq, a predicted model, not a curated record
GCUACACUGUCACAGGACAACAAAGUCCCUUUCAAGUUGCCAACGUAACCACCCACAAUUAUAUAUUUACCUCUAAUGAAUGCGGCCAAAGAGAUGAUGUGGAGGUCCAGUUCAUCGGGAAGCCAACAGACGGUCCUAGAGAAUCUUCUUCCGGGCUACACGGAGACGUCCGCAGCACAGAAGAGUGAUCCAGCCUGAUCCACUAGCACCAGAUCCAGACUGGUACCUCUCCACAAAUUAAUACAUAAUGUAAUCUUUAUAAAAUAUAAUCAUACAAAAUUA